AGUGGCGAACGGGUGAGUAACACGUGAGCAAUCUGCCCUUGACUCUGGGAUAACUGCGGGAAACUGUAGCUAAUACCGGAUAUUACCUUGGAAGGCAUCUUCUGGGGUGGAAAGAAUUUUGGUCAAGGAUGAGCUCGCGGCCUAUCAGCUAGUUGGUGAGGUAAUGGCUCACCAAGGCGACGACGGGUAGCCGGCCUGAGAGGGUGACCGGCCACACUGGGACUGAGACACGGCCCAGACUCCUACGGGAGGCAGCAGUGGGGAAUAUUGCACAAUGGGCGCAAGCCUGAUGCAGCAACGCCGCGUGAGGGACGACGGCCUUCGGGUUGUAAACCUCUUUUAGUAGGGAAGAAGCGACUGGGUUUUCCUGGGAGUGACGGUACCUGCAGAAAAAGCACCGGCUAACUACGUGCCAGCAGCCGCGGUAAUACGUAGGGUGCAAGCGUUGUCCGGAAUUAUUGGGCGUAAAGAGCUCGUAGGCGGUUUGUCGCGUCUGCUGUGAAAACCCGAGGCUCAACCUCGGGCCUGCAGUGGGUACGGGCAGACUAGAGUGCGGUAGGGGAGAUUGGAAUUCCUGGUGUAGCGGUGGAAUGCGCAGAUAUCAGGAGGAACACCAAUGGCGAAGGCAGAUCUCUGGGCCGUAACUGACGCUGAGGAGCGAAAGCAUGGGGAGCGAACAGGAUUAGAUACCCUGGUAGUCCAUGCCGUAAACGUUGGGAACUAGAUGUGGGGACCAUUCCACGGUCUCCGUGUCGCAGCUAACGCAUUAAGUUCCCCGCCUGGGGAGUACGGCCGCAAGGCUAAAACUCAAAGGAAUUGACGGGGGCCCGCACAAGCGGCGGAGCAUGCGGAUUAAUUCGAUGCAACGCGAAGAACCUUACCAAGGCUUGACAUAUACCGGUAACGCCUGGAAACAGGUGCCCCGCAAGGUCGGUAUACAGGUGGUGCAUGGUUGUCGUCAGCUCGUGUCGUGAGAUGUUGGGUUAAGUCCCGCAACGAGCGCAACCCUCGUCCUAUGUUGCCAGCACGUAAUGGUGGGAACUCAUGGGAUACUGCCGGGGUCAACUCGGAGGAAGGUGGGGAUGACGUCAAAUCAUCAUGCCCCUUAUGUCUUGGGCUUCACGCAUGCUACAAUGGCCGGUACAAAGGGCUGCGAUACCGCAAGGUGGAGCGAAUCCCAAAAAGCCGGUCUCAGUUCGGAUUGAGGUCUGCAACUCGACCUCAUGAAGUCGGAGUCGCUAGUAAUCGCAGAUCAGCAACGCUGCGGUGAAUACGUUCCCGGGCCUUGUACACACCGCCCGUCAAGUCAUGAAAGUCGGUAACACCCGAAGC
RNAcentral lists this ribosomal RNA (1332 nucleotides) under glacier ice bacterium sp. glbI5. Its description in RNAcentral is "16S ribosomal RNA". It matches the Rfam family "Bacterial small subunit ribosomal RNA", at positions 94 to 1427 of the family's 1533-position model. The record is from RNAcentral.